UGUAGCGGGAAAGCGUAUUAUGCACACCCCGCGCCGCUGA
This 40-nucleotide ribosomal RNA is filed under the name Escherichia coli 2-052-05_S1_C3. Its description in RNAcentral is "partial 23S ribosomal RNA". Lineage: Bacteria; Pseudomonadati; Pseudomonadota; Gammaproteobacteria; Enterobacterales; Enterobacteriaceae. The record is from RNAcentral.